AAGGUGAUUGCUUAAUAGGGUAGAACGCUUGAUUGUAGAUCAAGCGGGUGAGGGUUUAAGUCCCUUUCAUCCUACUA
Molecule: transfer RNA, 77 nt
Filed under: hydrothermal vent metagenome
Description: tRNA-Tyr-GTA
Rfam family: tRNA
About the family: Transfer RNA (tRNA) molecules are approximately 80 nucleotides in length. Their secondary structure includes four short double-helical elements and three loops (D, anti-codon, and T loops). Further hydrogen bonds mediate the characteristic L-shaped molecular structure. tRNAs have two regions of fundamental functional importance: the anti-codon, which is responsible for specific mRNA codon recognition, and the 3' end, to which the tRNAs corresponding amino acid is attached (by aminoacyl-tRNA synthetases). tRNAs cope with the degeneracy of the genetic code in two manners: having more than one tRNA (with a specific anti-codon) for a particular amino acid; and 'wobble' base-pairing, i.e. permitting non-standard base-pairing at the 3rd anti-codon position.
Source: RNAcentral